GGUUCCUACGGGGCGCAGCAGUGAGGAAUAUUGGGCAAUGGGCGCAAGCCUGACCCAGCAACGCCGCGUGAAGGAAGAAGGCUUUCGGGUUGUAAACUUCUUUUGACAGGGAAGAGUAGAAGACGGUACCUGUCGAAUAAGCCACGGCUAACUACGUGCCAGCAGCCGCGGUAAUACGUAGGUGGCAAGCGUUGUCCGGAUUUACUGGGUGUAAAGGGCGUGCAGCCGGAGAGACAAGUCAGAUGUGAAAUCCACGGGCUCAACCCGUGAACUGCAUUUGAAACUGUUUCCCUUGAGUGUCGGAG
RNAcentral lists this ribosomal RNA (305 nucleotides) under uncultured bacterium. Its description in RNAcentral is "bacterial SSU rRNA". It matches the Rfam family "Bacterial small subunit ribosomal RNA", at positions 334 to 654 of the family's 1533-position model. The record is from RNAcentral.